RNAcentral lists this ribosomal RNA (280 nucleotides) under uncultured bacterium. RNAcentral's name for it is "partial 16S ribosomal RNA". It matches the Rfam family "Bacterial small subunit ribosomal RNA", at positions 506 to 784 of the family's 1533-position model. The record is from RNAcentral.
UGCCAGCAGCCGCGGUAUUCCGCAGGGCGCGCGCGUUAAUCGGCAUUACUGGGCGUAAAGCGUACGUAGGUGGUUUGGUAAGUCGGAUGUGAAAUCCCCGGGCUUAACCUGGGAACUGCAUUCGAUACUGCAGAGCUAGAGUAUGGUAGAGGGAAGUGGAAUUUCCGGUGUAGCGGUGGAAUGCGUAGAUAUCGGAAGGAACACCAGUGGCGAAGGCGACUUCCUGGGCCAAUACUGACUGCUGAGGUGCGAAAGCGUGGGGAGCAAACAGGAUUAGAUA